GAUGAACGCUGGCGGCGUGCCUAAUACAUGCAAGUCGAGCGAACGGACGAGAAGCUUGCUUCUCUGACGUUAGCGGCGGACGGGUGAGUAACACGUGGAUAACCUACCUAUAAGACUGGGAUAACUUCGGGAAACCGUAGCUAAUACCGGAUAAUAUUUUGAACCGCAUGGUUCAAUAGUGAAAGACGGUCUUGCUGUCACUUAUAGAUGGAUCCGCGCUGCAUUAGCUAGUUGGUAAGGUAACGGCUUACCAAGGCAACGAUGCAUAGCCGACCUGAGAGGGUGAUCGGCCACACUGGAACUGAGACACGGUCCAGACUCCUACGGGAGGCAGCAGUAGGGAAUCUUCCGCAAUGGGCGAAAGCCUGACGGAGCAACGCCGCGUGAGUGAUGAAGGUCUUCGGAUCGUAAAACUCUGUUAUUAGGGAAGAACAUAUGUGUAAGUAACUGUGCACGUCUUGACGGUACCUAAUCAGAAAGCCACGGCUAACUACGUG
Molecule: ribosomal RNA, 497 nt
Filed under: uncultured bacterium
Lineage: Bacteria
Description: partial 16S ribosomal RNA
Rfam family: Bacterial small subunit ribosomal RNA
Source: RNAcentral